This 275-nucleotide unclassified non-coding RNA is filed under the name Hevea brasiliensis (rubber tree). Lineage: Eukaryota; Viridiplantae; Streptophyta; Magnoliopsida; Malpighiales; Euphorbiaceae. The record is from RNAcentral.
UAAAAAAUAUUUUAGGCAUUUAAAUUGUCCCAAGUUAUUUGGAAGACUACCAGAAAAUGAAUUGUUGAAAAGAUAAAGAUUCUCUAAACUGUUCUGGAUGCAACUGGAUGAGUUGCCAAAAGGUCCAGAAAUCUCACCGCUGAACUUGUUGGAUUCCAAGUGUAGCUCACUCAAAUUGCAAAGCUUGUUCAACGUUUUGGGAAUUUUUCCUUCCAGAGAAUUAUAAGACAGAUCAAGGAAAGCAAGAGAAUUAAGAUUACCCAUCUCAGUUGAAA